GACGAACGCUGGCGGCGUGCUUAACACAUGCAAGUCGAACGGAAAGGCCCUGCUUUUGUGGGGUGCUCGAGUGGCGAACGGGUGAGUAACACGUGAGUAACCUGCCCUUGACUUUGGGAUAACUUCAGGAAACUGGGGCUAAUACCGGAUAGGAGCUCCUGCUGCAUGGUGGGGGUUGGAAAGUUUCGGCGGUUGGGGAUGGACUCGCGGCUUAUCAGCUUGUUGGUGGGGUAGUGGCUUACCAAGGCUUUGACGGGUAGCCGGCCUGAGAGGGUGACCGGCCACAUUGGGACUGAGAUACGGCCCAGACUCCUACGGGAGGCAGCAGUGGGGAAUAUUGCACAAUGGGCGGAAGCCUGAUGCAGCAACGCCGCGUGCGGGAUGACGGCCUUCGGGAUGUAAACCGCUUUCGCCUGUGACGAAGCGUGAGUGACGGUAAUGGGUAAAGAAGCACCGGCUAACUACGU
This 467-nucleotide ribosomal RNA is filed under the name uncultured bacterium. RNAcentral describes it as "partial 16S ribosomal RNA". It matches the Rfam family "Bacterial small subunit ribosomal RNA", at positions 28 to 506 of the family's 1533-position model. The record is from RNAcentral.